Molecule: ribosomal RNA, 293 nt
Filed under: uncultured bacterium
Lineage: Bacteria
Description: partial 16S ribosomal RNA
Source: RNAcentral
GGACUACAGGGGUUUCUAAUCCUGUUUGCUCCCCAUGCUUUCGAGUCUCAGCGUCAGUUGUCGGCCAGAAAGUCGCCUUCGCCACUGGUGUUCCUCCCGAUCUCUACGAAUUUCACCUCUACACCGGGAAUUCCACUCUCCUCUCCGACACUCAAGCAACCCAGUUUCUUCUGCACGUUGUCAGGCUAAGCCCGCAGAUUUCACAGAAGACUUAAAUCACCGCCUACACUCCCUUUACGCCCAAUAAUUCCGAACAACGCUUGCACCCUCUGUAUUACCGCGGCUGCUGGCAC